This 386-nucleotide ribosomal RNA is filed under the name uncultured eukaryote. RNAcentral describes it as "SSU rRNA". It matches the Rfam family "Eukaryotic small subunit ribosomal RNA", at positions 587 to 972 of the family's 1831-position model. The record is from RNAcentral.
AGCUCCAAUAGCGUAUAUUAAAGUUGUUGCGGUUAAAAAGCUCGUAGUUGGAUUUCUAAGCCUGCCAGUUCUGUCUGACCUUUAAGAGUCAGCACGGUGUCUGGCGUGUCUUAUUAUGCGUUUAAUGGCGUUUGCUAUUCGUUUAGCGAGUGCCGUGAGAGCGCGUGUUUACUUUGAGAAAAUUAGAGUGUUCAAAACAGUCUUUCGAUUGUAUAUCAUAGCAUGGAAUAAUAACUGAUGACAACGGUCUCUGUUGUUGGCUUUCGGUGACUGAUGUAAUGAUUGAUAGAGUCAGUCGGAGGCAUUAGUAUUUUAUCGUUAGAGGUGAAAUUCACAGAUCGAUAAAAGACUAACAACUGCGAAAGCAUUUGUCUAGGAUGUGCUCU